Molecule: long non-coding RNA, 108 nt
Organism: Haliotis rubra (blacklip abalone)
Lineage: Eukaryota; Metazoa; Mollusca; Gastropoda; Lepetellida; Haliotidae
Exons: 3
Source: RefSeq, a predicted model, not a curated record
UGGCCAAUGCGACAUCGUUUUUUGUUGGUUACCCAGCCACUUUGGCAUUUCUGAGAACACAUUGGCCGAUCUUGCGGCCAAGGCAGCACUAAAUAAAUCUGUGACACC